GAGCGGCGGACGGGUGCGUAAUACUUAGGCAUCUACCUAGUAGUGGGGGAUAGCACGGGGAAACUCGUAUUAAUACCGCAUACGACCUACGGGAGAAAGGGGGCAGUUUACUGCUCUCGCUAUUAGAUGAGCCUAAGUCGGAUUAGCUAGAUGGUGGGGUAAAGGCCUACCAUGGCGACGAUCUGUAGCUGGUCUGAGAGGAUGAUCAGCCACACCGGGACUGAGACACGGCCCGGACUCCUACGGGAGGCAGCAGUGGGGAAUAUUGGACAAUGGGGGAAACCCUGAUCCAGCCAUGCCGCGUGUGUGAAGAAGGCCUUUUGGUUGUAAAGCACUUUAAGCAGUGAAGAAGACUCUUCGGUUAAUACCCGGAGACGAUGACAUUAGCUGCAGAAUAAGCACCGGCUAACUCUGUGCCAGCAGCCGCGGUAAUACAGAGGGUGCAAGCGUUAAUCGGAAUUACUGGGCGUAAAGGGAGCGUAGGUGGCUCGAUAAGUCAGAUGUUAAAUCCCCGGGCUCAACCUGGGAACUGCAUCUUAUACUUGUUGAGCUAAAGUAUUGUUGAGAGGAAGGUAAGAAUUUCCAGGUUUUACCGGUUGAA
Molecule: ribosomal RNA, 601 nt
Filed under: Adelie penguin guano bacterium 48
Lineage: Bacteria
Description: bacterial SSU rRNA
Rfam family: Bacterial small subunit ribosomal RNA
Source: RNAcentral